UUCGAUGAUACGCGAGGAACCUUACCUGGGCUUAAAUGUAGAUUGCAUGAGGUGGAAACACUUCUUCCCUUCGGGGCUAUUUACAAGGUGCUGCAUGGUUGUCGUCAGCUCGUGCCGUGAGGUGUCCGGGUUAAGUCCCAUAACGAGCGCAACCUUACCGUUAGUUGCCAUCGGGUCAAGCCGGGGACUCUAGCGGGACUGCCACCGUAAGGUGAGAGGAAGGUGGGGAUGACGUCAAAUCAGCACGGCCCUUAUGUCCAGGGCUACACACGUGUUACAAUGGCCGGUACAGAGGGCAGCUACCUGGUGACAGGAUGCUAAUCCCGAAAGCCGGUCCCAGUUCGGAUUGGAGUCUGCAACCCGACUCCAUGAAGUUGGAAUCGCUAGUAAUCGCGGAUCAGCAUGCCGCGGUCGAAUACGUUCCCGGGCCUU
This 432-nucleotide ribosomal RNA is filed under the name uncultured Sphingobacteriales bacterium. RNAcentral describes it as "bacterial SSU rRNA". It matches the Rfam family "Bacterial small subunit ribosomal RNA", at positions 950 to 1382 of the family's 1533-position model. Lineage: Bacteria; Pseudomonadati; Bacteroidota; Sphingobacteriia; Sphingobacteriales. The record is from RNAcentral.